GACGAACGCUGGCGGCGUGCUUAACACAUGCAAGUCGAGCGGUAAGGCCCUUUCGGGGGUACACGAGCGGCGAACGGGUGAGUAACACGUGGGUGACCUGCCUUUAGCUCUGGGAUAAGCCUGGGAAACUGGGUCUAAUACCGGAUACGACUCCGCGGUGCAUGCUGUGGGGUGGAAAGCCUUGUGCGGCUGGAGAUGGGCCCGCGGCCUAUCAGCUUGUUGGUGGGUGAUGGCCUACCAAGGCGACGACGGGCAGCCGGCCUGAGAGGGCGACCGGCCACACUGGGACUGAGACACGGCCCAGACUCCUACGGGAGGCAGCAGUGGGGAAUCUUGCGCAAUGGGCGAAAGCCUGAACGCAGCGACGCCGCGUGAGGGAUGACGGCC
This 387-nucleotide ribosomal RNA is filed under the name uncultured bacterium. Its description in RNAcentral is "bacterial SSU rRNA". It matches the Rfam family "Bacterial small subunit ribosomal RNA", at positions 28 to 416 of the family's 1533-position model. The record is from RNAcentral.